This 179-nucleotide ribosomal RNA is filed under the name Ruellia densa. Its description in RNAcentral is "5.8S ribosomal RNA". The stretch from base 27 to 179 matches the Rfam family "5.8S ribosomal RNA". Rfam says of the family: 5.8S ribosomal RNA (5.8S rRNA) is a component of the large subunit of the eukaryotic ribosome. It is transcribed by RNA polymerase I as part of the 45S precursor that also contains 18S and 28S rRNA. The record is from RNAcentral. Lineage: Eukaryota; Viridiplantae; Streptophyta; Magnoliopsida; Lamiales; Acanthaceae.
AUGGUGCGUAUCUCGAAUGUCAAAACGACUCUCGGCAACGGAUAUCUCGGCUCUCGCAUCGAUGAAGAACGUAGCGAAAUGCGAUACUUGGUGUGAAUUGCAGAAUCCCGUGAACCAUCGAGUCUUUGAACGCAAGUUGCGCCCGAAGCCUUCGGGCCGAGGGCACGCCUGCCUGGGCG